UGCAGGCGCGGGGAACACCCAUGGCGGGGUACUUGAAGCUGGUGUGUGCUUCCUUUCAGCGUCAAGGGUUCCACACUGUUGGGAGUCACUGCAAGAAUCGGACAGGCGCUGAGCACCUGUGGCUGACCCGGCAUCUCAGGGACCCAUUUGUGAAGGCUGCGAAGGUGGAGAGUUACCGGUGUCGAAGCGCCUUCAAGCUCCUGGAGGUGAACGAGAGGCACCAGAUUCUGCGGCCCGGCCUUCGGGUGUUAGACUGUGGGGCAGCUCCUGGGGCCUGGAGUCAGGUGGCGGUGCAGAAGGUCAACGCCGCAGGCACAGAUGGAGUCUCACUCUUGCCCAGGCUGCAGUGCAAUGGUGUGAUCUCGGCUCACUGCAACCUCUGCCUACCUGGUUCAAGCGAUUCUCCUGCCUCAGCCUCCCCAGUAGCUGGGAUUACAGGCGCCCGCCACCGCACCCAGCUAAUUUUUUCUUUUUGUUUUUUUAAGUAGAGACAGGGUUUCACUAUGUUGGCUAGGCUGAUCUCGAACUCUUGACCUCAGGUGAUCUGCCCACCUCGGCCUCCCAAAGUGCUGGGAUUACAGAUGUGAGCCAUGGUGCCCGGCUACUCUUAAUGAUGUAUUGACAUCUUUCCCCAACAGCACAGCUAAAUUUCCAAGUCGCAUAAGCCCUGGGGCUUUCCUGGUGGCCCCACUGGGGCUGCUCCUUCCGGAACCUAGAAGAGGCUUCAUGGCCAGGGCUAUGGAUUCUUUGCUCUGGAUGAAGCUGAGACGCAGUUUUCAUCUGUUUUGUAUCUUAGGGUUUUGAGUAAGAUUUUCUAUAUAAAAAGGUUCUCCUGAAUAAUGAGAUCAGCCAACCACCCAUGCAACUGAAGACACUGUCGUCAUUGGGAAAGUUUCAUCCUAUUCCAUGUAGUGCUUGCACCGUAGGUUCUUUAACCAGCUCCCUCACUGUGGCAUCAAGGUUGCUUUUGGCUUUUGGCUGGGAUGCGUGUGCUGUGGUGAAUAUCCUUGCCAUUUAUGUUUCCUGCUGUAAAGCCAGGGUAGCUGCAUGCACUGGCAUUUGAACAGGGUGAGACAGUCCACCCAGAGCUCUCCCAAGUCUCUCCCAAAUACCUUAGAGUAGGGACACUGGUCCCCAUUUAUUGGUGAGAAAACAGGCUCAGGGUUUCAUGACUUGUUGAAAGUGCAGAAAUGGAAUGCUGGCCCCCUGGAUCUGCACAUCCGCCUCACUGCUGGUUUGCGAUCCCAGCUCUCCUGUUGGCUUCGUGCUUGGGGUAGAUCUUCUUCACAUAUUCCCCCUGGAAGGAGCAACUUUUCUGUGCCCUGCUGAUGUGACUGACCCGAGAACCUCACAGAGAAUCCUCGAGGUGCUUCCUGGCGGGAGAGCAGAUGUGAUUCUGAGCGACAUGGCGCCCAAUGCCACAGGGUUCCGGGACCUCGAUCAUGACAGGCUCAUCAGCCUGUGCCUGACCCUUCUCAGCGUGACCCCAGACAUCCUGCAACCUGGGGGGACAUUCCUUUGUAAAACCUGGGCUGGAAGUCAAAGCCGUCGGUUACAGAGGAGACUGACAGAGGAAUUCCAGAAUGUAAGGAUCAUCAAACCUGAAGCCAGCAGGAAAGAGUCAUCAGAAGUGUACUUCUUGGCCACACAGUACCACGGAAGGAAGGGCGCUGUGAAGCAGUGAGGAUUUCUUGUGCCAUUUUCAUAAUGGUCAUUAGCUCCUUUUAAGCUAGAAACGUAGCCUGAGCUCCUUCCUGAAGAGUUCCUGGGAGAUUUGAGCUGAUUUUGGAGAUGGAGCAGGACAAGUGGGGAGUCUCUCUCUCUCUUUCUCUCUCUCUCUCUUUUUAACCAAAAAGAGAUGACAAAACUAAGUUCAGGGGCCAUGGAAAAUGAAAAAGUCCGCUAUAUUGUGAUUUGGGAAGAGAAAGUUAUCAAGAGAAAGAGGUGAGGAUGGAAGGAUGGAGAAAAACAGACUGUGGGAAGGAUCAGAAGGAAUCCGCCGAGGCAGGGAUGGGUGUGCCCAUGUGUGCCUUGACGGGACUUCAUCUUAUAGACUGUUAAACUGUCACACAGAAACAGGCUUUCCACCCCUGCUCUGAGAGCACCACGCACAGAUUUCCAGUUCUUAGUGUGGCUGUUUAAAGUAGAAAAUCUGGGGGCUGGGUGAGGCCACUCAUGCCUGUAAUCCCAGGCCUUUAGAAGGCUGAGGCUGGGGGAUUGCUUGAAGUCAGGAGUUCAAGACCAACCUGGGCAACAUAGCAGCACACCCCAUGUCUACAAAAAUGAAAAACCAAAAAGCAAACCAAAAGAAAAAUCUGAACUUUCCAUCUGGGGAUUAACUUCUGUCUUUCUGGUGAACAAUAUAGCAAUUCACGCAUUCUUCAAGCAGCAAAAGUUCCCGGAACAAUUAGGGAAGACGUAUGGUCUGAAUUUAUCCAUGCAGUGGGUCUGCUUUGGUUUUUGCUGGAAAUUUAUACCAGUGUCUGGGCUCCCAAGAACAUAAAGGUAAUUGCCAAA
Molecule: small RNA, 2517 nt
Filed under: Pan troglodytes (chimpanzee)
Lineage: Eukaryota; Metazoa; Chordata; Mammalia; Primates; Hominidae
Description: processed transcript
Source: RNAcentral